UGGUUGCCUGACUUGAGCGAAGCCCUCCAGCUCUGCACCCUCAGAAUGAGUGCUGUACCCCAGGGUUUUGGCCACAUCUACCAUUCUUCAGCCCUCAUCUUUUAGGAAGUACUUCAGUCUGUUGAUAAAUUCCUCAUCUGGGCUAUGGGGUUUCACCACUUCCCAGGGAUUCAGCCCCUGUUUCCCACGGCUUCCCCAAUCAUUUGAUGGAGGGGUUUCUUUAGGCCCAGCUUCCCCCAGCUCAUCCUGUCCCUGCUGACCUCCGCUUGCUGUGGGCUCCUCCUCAAAGUCCUAGGACUCUGCUGUGUGUCCUGGAGGUGCCUGUGGUGAAAAGGCCAGAGAUAGAGUCAUGUACGGAUGUGAGAGCUGGACCAUAAAGAAGGCUGAGCACCAAAUAAUUGAUUCUUUCAAACUGUGGUGUGGAGAAGCCUCUUGAGAGUCCUUUGCACUGCAAGAUAAAACCAGUCAAUCCUAAAGGAAAUCAACCCUGAAUAUUCAUUGGAAGGACUGAUGCUGAAGCUUCAAUACUUUGGCCACCUGAUGCAAAGGGCCAACUGAUUGGAAAGGACCGUUAUGCUGGGAAAGAUUGAGGGCAGUAGAAGAAGGGGGCAACAGAGGAUAAGAUGGUUGGAUGGCAUCACCAACUCAAUAGACAUGAGUUUGAGCAAACUCUGGGGGAUAGUGAAGGACAGGGCAGUCUGGCAUGCUGCAGUUCAUGGGGUUACAAAGAGUCAGACACAACCUAGGACUGAACAACAACAAACAGUGUAGUGUUAUCAAUCAUAAUUCUAGUUAUCUUUUUAAAUGUUGCACGCCACAGAAACAACCAAAUUUCCUUGUCAGUUGCAUUAUUUUUGUGUUGAACUCUCAUCAGAUCUUUAACUAUGGCAUUUUAAAUCUUUUCUCUUGCACUUAUGCUUCCCCAAAAGCGCUUGCAAUCACCUACAGGCCACAAUGCUUUAUCUUCAAUAAAAAGGGACUGUCUCAGACCCUCAGGUAAAGGACUUUGCCAAAUGUUCUGAGGCACAAGUUUCUGAUG
This is a long non-coding RNA of Bos taurus (domestic cattle), 1039 nucleotides long. Lineage: Eukaryota; Metazoa; Chordata; Mammalia; Artiodactyla; Bovidae. The record is from Ensembl.